RNAcentral lists this ribosomal RNA (106 nucleotides) under uncultured Streptococcus sp. RNAcentral's name for it is "partial 16S ribosomal RNA". It matches the Rfam family "Bacterial small subunit ribosomal RNA", at positions 335 to 440 of the family's 1533-position model. The record is from RNAcentral. Lineage: Bacteria; Bacillati; Bacillota; Bacilli; Lactobacillales; Streptococcaceae.
ACUCCUACGGGAGGCAGCAGUAGGGAAUCUUCGGCAAUGGACGAAAGUCUGACCGAGCAACGCCGCGUGAGUGAAGAAGGUCUUCGGAUCGUAAAGCUCUGUUGUC